This 876-nucleotide ribosomal RNA is filed under the name uncultured archaeon. RNAcentral describes it as "bacterial SSU rRNA". It matches the Rfam family "Archaeal small subunit ribosomal RNA", at positions 1 to 872 of the family's 1478-position model. The record is from RNAcentral.
UCCGGUUGAUCCUGCCGGAGGCCACUGCUAUGGGGGUCCGACUAAGCCAUGCGAGUCAUGGGGCCCGUCUGCGGGCACCGGCGGACGGCUCAGUAACACGUCGGUAACCUACCCUCGGGAGGGGGAUAACCCCGGGAAACUGGGGCUAAUCCCCCAUAGGCCUGGGGUACUGGAAGGUCCCCAGGCCGAAAGGGGCUUCAGCCCGCCCGAGGAUGGGCCGGCGGCCGAUUAGGUAGUUGGUGGGGUAACGGCCCACCAAGCCGAAGAUCGGUACGGGCCAUGAGAGUGGGAGCCCGGAGAUGGACACUGAGACACGGGUCCAGGCCCUACGGGGCGCAGCAGGCGCGAAACCUCCGCGAUGCGGGCAACCGCGACGGGGGGACCCCCAGUGCCGUGGCAAAGCCACGGCUUUUCCGGAGUGUAAAAAGCUCCGGGAAUAAGGGCUGGGCAAGGCCGGUGGCAGCCGCCGCGGUAAUACCGGCGGCCCGAGUGGUGGCCGCUAUUAUUGGGCCUAAAGCGUCCGUAGCCGGGCCCGUAGGUCCCUGGCGAAAUCCCACGGCUCAACCGUGGGGCUUGCUGGGGAUACUGCGGGCCUUGGGACCGGGAGAGGCGGGGGGUACCCCUGGGGUAGGGGUGAAAUCCUAUAAUCCCAGGGGGACCGCCUAGUGGCGAAGGCGCCCCGCUGGAACGGGUCCGACGGUGAGGGACGAAGGCCAGGGGAGCGAACCGGAUUAGAAACCCGGGUAGUCCUGGCUGCUAAACGAUGCGGGCUAGGUGUCACCGGAGCAUCGAGCUCCGGUGGUGCCGGAGGGAAGCCGUUAAGCCCGCCGCCUGGGGAGUACGGCCGCAAGGCUGAAACUUAAAGGAAUUGGCGGG